GACGAACGCUGGCGGCAUGCCUAACACAUGCAAGUCGAGCGGAGUUCUUUUUUCAGAGUUCUUCGGAACAAAGAAGACUGAACUUAGUGGCGGACGGGUGAGUAACGCGUGGGUAACCUGCCCUUUUGUGGGGAACAACUUCGAGAAAUCGAAGCUAAUACCGCAUGAGCUUACAGGAUCGCAUGAUCGUGUAAGGAAAGAUGGCCUCUGAAUAUGCUAUCGCAAGAGGAUGGACCCGCGUCUGAUUAGCUGGUUGGUGAGGUAACGGCUCACCAAGGCAACGAUCAGUAGCCGGCCUGAGAGGGUGAACGGCCACAUUGGGACUGAGACACGGCCCAGACUCCUACGGGAGCAGCAGUAGGGAAUCUUCGCAAUGGGCAAAGCCUGACGGAGCAAUGCCGCGUGAGUGAAGAA
Molecule: ribosomal RNA, 414 nt
Filed under: uncultured bacterium
Lineage: Bacteria
Description: bacterial SSU rRNA
Rfam family: Bacterial small subunit ribosomal RNA
Source: RNAcentral